CAGCAGCCGCGGUAAUACGUAGGGUGCGAGCGUUAAUCGGAAUUACUGGGCGUAAAGCGUGCGCAGGCGGUUAUAUAAGACAGAUGUGAAAUCCCCGGGCUCAACCUGGGACCUGCAUUUGUGACUGUAUAGCUAGAGUACGGUAGAAGGGGAUGGAAUUCCGCGUGUAGCGGUGAAAUGCGUAGAUAUGCGGAGGAACACCGAUGGCGAAGGCAAUCCCCUGGACCUGUACUGACGCUCAUGCACGAAAGCGUGGGGAGCAAACAGGAUUAGAUACCCCAGUAGUCCCUGUCUCUUAUAC
This 301-nucleotide ribosomal RNA is filed under the name uncultured bacterium. RNAcentral's name for it is "partial 16S ribosomal RNA". It matches the Rfam family "Bacterial small subunit ribosomal RNA", at positions 509 to 807 of the family's 1533-position model. The record is from RNAcentral.